Molecule: long non-coding RNA, 997 nt
Organism: Cyanistes caeruleus (blue tit)
Lineage: Eukaryota; Metazoa; Chordata; Aves; Passeriformes; Paridae
Source: RefSeq, a predicted model, not a curated record
UUAAACAACAACAAAAAAAAUCCCUUAUAUGUCCAAAAUAAUAUAGCUGAAUAACCACCUGAUACAGAAUUAUAUAUGUUGAUGAUGGUUUUAAUUGGUGGGGGGAGGUAUUAUUUGUAUUUUCUUCUUGUUAGUGUCAGAUGAGUGCUAAAGACCCCUCUUGUGCUGGGUGCAAAAUAUACCCUGUACAAAAGGAGCAUCUUGCCAUGGUUUCUAUCCUGAGCAGUGGAAAAGUUUCUUGUGUUUUUAAGGGACAAAAGAAACAGUAAUGUGUCUUUGGGCACUGUCUCAUGUGGGACAGUGGUUUUGGAGUGCAGACAGCUGAAGCUCAGCCACUCUCAGAACAUCACACUUAGAAGAGAGACUAGAAAAAGAUUUCUGACACUCAAGUGUGUUGCAAGGAGUUUCUGUAAUUUGUAACUUCAAUUCCCAUUGUUCUUAGUGCUAUCAUGACUACACAAAUGGUUCUGUACCCACUGCCUUUCUCCUUCGUGUUAUGAAGACCGGUGCCUUACACAGAGCUUCCAGAUGAAAAGAAGCUGGAGGCUCCUGCAAGUGGUGAGGGUGGUGGUUCCUGUGGGAGAGGACAGUGACCUUCCAUACAGAAGGGGAGGAGGAACUGUAGAAGGUGGAAGCUGCUUGGCCCCUGGCCAAAAGGGGGAGCUCAGAAGCUGCAAUGGUUGUCUUUUAGGAUCUGUCCUUCUCUUGCCCUCUGUACGGAACUGUCUUGGGUUGCAAUGCAAGAAGUAACCAAAACAUGAGGUGGUCCACUCAGAGGGAGGAGCCAAGCAUUCCUACCUGGAUAUCUUUCAAGACUCAGAGCACCAAAAGCAGCCUUUCUCCACUGGAUUCCCAGAGGAGAGACUGGACCUAUCUACACCACCACUAGACCUUCAGAAAAAAAAAUACGCCGUUCUAUAGGCUCACUGCUUCAACAUUAUCACAUCUGUCACUGCAGGAGGACUGCAGCCACCAUUUAAUCAGACUGCUACAAACA